RNAcentral lists this ribosomal RNA (496 nucleotides) under Macrococcoides caseolyticum. RNAcentral describes it as "bacterial SSU rRNA". It matches the Rfam family "Bacterial small subunit ribosomal RNA", at positions 1 to 477 of the family's 1533-position model. Lineage: Bacteria; Bacillati; Bacillota; Bacilli; Caryophanales; Staphylococcaceae. The record is from RNAcentral.
AUUAUGGAGAGUUUGAUCCUGGCUCAGGAUUAACGCUGGCGGCGUGCCUAAUACAUGCAAGUCGAGCGAACAGACGAGAGUGCUUGCACUCUCUGACGUUAGCGGCGGACGGGUGAGUAACACGUGGGUAACCUACCUAUAAGACUGGGAUAACUUCGGGAAACCGGAGCUAAUACCGGAUAAUAUCUAGCUUCGCAUGAAGCAAUAGUGAAAGACGGUUCUGCUGUCACUUAUAGAUGGACCCGCGGUGUAUUAGCUAGUUGGUGAGGUAACGGCUCACCAAGGCAACGAUACAUAGCCGACCUGAGAGGGUGAUCGGCCACACUGGGACUGAGACACGGCCCAGACUCCUACGGGAGGCAGCAGUAGGGAAUCUUCCGCAAUGGACGAAAGUCUGACGGAGCAACGCCGCGUGAGUGAAGAAGGUUUUCGGAUCGUAAAACUCUGUUGUAAGGGAAGAACAAGUACGUUAGUAACUGAACGUACCUUGACGGUA